RNAcentral lists this ribosomal RNA (366 nucleotides) under uncultured bacterium. RNAcentral's name for it is "bacterial SSU rRNA". It matches the Rfam family "Bacterial small subunit ribosomal RNA", at positions 434 to 793 of the family's 1533-position model. The record is from RNAcentral.
CAGUAGUGAGGAAAGGUGUAUAGUUAAUAGCAUUACACUGUGACGUUAGCUACAGAAGAAGCACCGGCAAACUCCGUGCCAGCAGCCGCGGUAAUACGGAGGGUGCGAGCGUUAAUCGGAAUUACUGGGCGUAAAGCGCGCGUAGGCGGUUAUUUAAGUGAGGUGUGAAAUCCCUGGGCUCAACCUAGGAACUGCAUUUCAAACUGGAUAACUUGAGUAUGUCAGAGGGUAUUGGAAUUUCCCCGUGUAGCAGUGAAAAUGCGUAGAUAUGGGAAGGAACAUCAGUGGCGAAGGCGAAUACCUGGGAUAAUACUGACGCUGAGGUGCGAAAGCGUGGGGAGCAAACGGGAUUAGAUACCCUGGUAG